UGAAAGAGAAGAAGAGAAGAGCUCUCCGGGCUCCGGCCUCCGGCCUUCGUCAGGCCAAGCUCCUGUCAUCGGGCUGCAUGCGCCCAUGCGCCACACGCGCCACCGUUCACGGCGGUUGAAAGGUUAAAAGCCUUCAUUUUUCCAGGCGAAUCACAGGUGACGACGAGAAAACCGGCAACGAUCAGGUGCUGAUGAUGGCGCACUGGCGCGCCGAUUAAGGCGCGAGAUGAGGGGUCACUGACUACGGCGUGAUGAUUGGGAUCGUGCUUGCGGCGCGAAGGUUUCUGGAAACCCUAGGGUUUCCUGAUUCAGUUUAGGCAUUGGGCCUUCCUGGGCCUUGCUGAUUUGGGUCUAGUUUGGGUAUUUGGGCUAAAGGGUUUUAGGUGUAAUGAGGUUCAAAUGUUGGUUACCGGUGUGAUUUGUAAAUGGGCCAUAAGUAGUGCUUCAAUUGGGCUAUGUAAAUAGGCUAGCAAUUUGGGUUUUGUAAAUGGACUGUAAAAGAACUUUUAUUAUUUUUUGGUUUUUUAUUUUAUU
Molecule: long non-coding RNA, 534 nt
Organism: Gossypium arboreum
Lineage: Eukaryota; Viridiplantae; Streptophyta; Magnoliopsida; Malvales; Malvaceae
Exons: 2
Source: RefSeq, a predicted model, not a curated record